Molecule: ribosomal RNA, 207 nt
Filed under: uncultured bacterium
Lineage: Bacteria
Description: partial 16S ribosomal RNA
Rfam family: Bacterial small subunit ribosomal RNA
Source: RNAcentral
CGUGUAGGCGGCCUGACAGGUCUGCUGUGAAAACUCGAGGCUCAACCUCGAGAUGUCGGCGGAAACCGUCUGGCUAGAGUCCGGAAGAGGAGAGUGGAAUUCCUGGUGUAGCGGUGAAAUGCGCAGAUAUCAGGAAGAACACCUAUGGCGAAGGCAGCUCUCUGGGACGGUACUGACGCUGAGACGCGAAAGCGUGGGGAGCGAACA